AACGAGUGCUGGCGGCAUGCCUAACACAUGCAAGUCGAACGAGAUCUUCGGGUCUAGUGGCGCACGGGUGCGUAACGCGUGGGAAUCUGCCCUUUGGUUCGGAAUAACAGUUGGAAACGACUGCUAAUACCGGAUGAUGACGAAAGUCCAAAGAUUUAUCGCCAGAGGAUGAGCCCGCGUAGGAUUAGCUAGUUGGUGUGGUAAAGGCGCACCAAGGCGACGAUCCUUAGCUGGUCUGAGAGGAUGAUCAGCCACACUGGGACUGAGACACGGCCCAGACUCCUACGGGAGGCAGCAGUGGGGAAUAUUGGACAAUGGGCGAAAGCCUGAUCCAGCAAUGCCGCGUGAGUGAUGAAGGCCUUAGGGUUGUAAAGCUCUUUUACCCGGGAUGAUAAUGACGGUACCGGGAGAAUAAGCUCCGGCUAACUCCGUGCCAGCAGCCGCCGUAA
This 449-nucleotide ribosomal RNA is filed under the name uncultured bacterium. RNAcentral's name for it is "partial 16S ribosomal RNA". It matches the Rfam family "Bacterial small subunit ribosomal RNA", at positions 29 to 523 of the family's 1533-position model. The record is from RNAcentral.